Molecule: ribosomal RNA, 350 nt
Filed under: uncultured Glomus
Lineage: Eukaryota; Fungi; Glomeromycota; Glomeromycetes; Glomerales; Glomeraceae
Description: SSU rRNA
Rfam family: Eukaryotic small subunit ribosomal RNA
Source: RNAcentral
AGCAGCCGCGGUAAUUCCAGCUCCAAUAGCGUAUAUUAAAGUUGUUGCAGUUAAAAAGCUCGUAGUUGAAUUUCGGGGUCAGUAGAUUGGUCAUGCCUCCGGUAUGUACUGGUCUUACUGGCUCCUCCUUCCUGAUGAACCGUAAUGCCAUUAAUUUGGUGUUGCGGGGAGACUGGACUGUUACUUUGAAAAAUUAGAGUGUUUAAAGCAGGCUAACGCUUGAAUACAUUAGCAUGGAAUAAUGAAAUAGGACGUUCGAUCUUAUUUUGUUGGUUUCUAAGAUUGACGUAAUGAUUAAUAGGGAUAGUUGGGGGCAUUAGUAUUCAAUUGUCAGAGGUGUAAUUCUUGGA